This 791-nucleotide ribosomal RNA is filed under the name uncultured bacterium. Its description in RNAcentral is "bacterial SSU rRNA". It matches the Rfam family "Bacterial small subunit ribosomal RNA", at positions 8 to 796 of the family's 1533-position model. The record is from RNAcentral.
AGAGUUUGAUCCUGGCUCAGGAUGAACGCUAGCGGCAGGCCUAAUACAUGCAAGUCGAACGAUACCAGGGAGCUUGCUCUCUGGGAAAGUGGCGCACGGGUGCGUAACGCGUAUGCAACCUACCUUAAUCAGGGGGAUAGCCUCUCGAAAGAGAGAUUAACACCGCAUAAAAUCAAAGAAUGGCAUCAUUCAAUGAUCAAAUAUUUAUAGGAUUAAGAUGGGCAUGCGUGUCAUUAGCUAGUUGGUGAGGUAACGGCUCACCAAGGCGACGAUGACUAGGGGAUCUGAGAGGACGACCCCCCACACUGGUACUGAGACACGGACCAGACUCCUACGGGAGGCAGCUGUAAGGAAUAUUGGUCAAUGGAGGCAACUCUGAACCAGCCAUGCCGCGUGCAGGAAGACGGCCCUAUGGGUUGUAAACUGCUUUUAUACGGGAAUAAACCUCUCUUCGUGAAGAGAGCUGAAUGUACUGUAAGAAUAAGGAUCGGCUAACUCCGUGCCAGCAGCCGCGGUAAUACGGAGGAUCCAAGCGUUAUCCGGAUUUAUUGGGUUUAAAGGGUGCGUAGGCGGCUUAUUAAGUCAGGGGUGAAAGACGGUGGCUCAACCAUCGCAGUGCCUUUGAUACUGAUGAGCUUGAAUACACUUGAGGUAGGCGGAAUGUGACAAGUAGCGGUGAAAUGCAUAGAUAUGUCACAGAACACCAAUUGCGAAGGCAGCUUACUAAGGUGCAAUUGACGCUGAGGCACGAAAGCGUGGGGAUCAAACAGGAUUAGAUACCCUGGUAGUCG